GUGAAAAGUACCCCGGGAGGGGAGUGAAAUAGUACCUGAAACCGUGUGCUUACAAGCCGUUGGAGCCUUUUGGGGUGACAGCGUGCCUUUUGAAGAAUGAGCCUGCGAGUUAGUGUUAUGUCGCGAGGUUAACCCGUGUGGGGUAUCCGUAGCGAAAGCGAGUCUGAAUAGGGCGUUUGAGUGGCAUGACCUAGACCCGAAGCGGAGUGAUCUAUCCAUGGCCAGGUUGAAGCGACGGUAAGACGUCGUGGAGGACCGAACCCACUUCAGUUGAAAAUGGAGGGGAUGAGCUGUGGAUAGGGGUGAAAGGCCAAUCAAACUCUGUGAUAGCUGGUUCUCCCCGAAAUGCAUUUAGGUGCAGCGUUACGUGUUUCUUGCCGGAGGUAGAGCUACUGGAUGGCCGAUGGGCCUUCACGGGUUACUGACGUCAGCUAAACUCCGAAUGCCGGUAAGUGAGAGCGUAGCAGUGAGACAGUGGGGGAUAAGCUUCAUUGUCGAGAGGGAAACAGCCCAGACCACCAACUAAGGCCCCUAAGCGUGUGCUAAGUGGGAAAGGAUGUGGAGUUGCUUAGACAACCAGGAGGUUGGCUUAGAAGCAGCCAUCCUUGAAAGAGUGCGUAACAGCUCACUGGUCAAGUGAUUCUGCGCCGAUAAUGUAGCGGGGCUCAAGUACACCGCCGAAGUUGUGGCAAUGAUCUUUUUGGAUUGUUGGGUAGGGGAGCGUCGUGUAGCCGGUGAAGCUGCGGUGUAAACCAGUGGUGGAGGCUAUGCGAGUGAGAAUGCAGGCAUGAGUAGCGAAAGAUGAGUGAGAAACUCAUCCGCCGGAUGAUCAAGGGUUCCAGGGUCAAGUUAAUCUGCCCUGGGUUAGUCGGGGCCUAAGGCGAGGCCGACAGGCGUAGUCGAUGGAUAACGGGUUGAUAUUCCCGUACCGGUGAAAAACCGCCCAUACUGAUAUUGUGAUGCUAACCAUGCGAAGCAUGAUGUGCAGGCUUUUGUUUGUGUGUUGUGUGGGUUGUGGGACCCGAUCUUUGGAGGUAAACGUGUUAACAGGUGUGACGCAGGAAGGUAGCCAAGCCACGCGAUGGUUGUCGUGGUCUAAGCGUGUAGGGUUGUCGGUUGUUAAAUGCGCCGGCUGUGUGCCUGAGACGUGAUGGGACCCCGUUUUUGGGGGAUUUGGUGAUCCUAUGCUGCCGAGAAAAGCAUCGGCGUGAGGUUUUAGCCGCCCGUACCCUAAACCGACACAGGUGAUCAGGUAGAGAAUACUAAGGCGAUCGAGAGAAUCAUGGUUAAGGAACUCGGCAAAAUGCCCCCGUAACUUCGGGAGAAGGGGGGCCCUGAGCGUGAUCUGCCCGUGCGGUGGGGAGCGUGUAGGGGUCGCAGAGACCAGGGGGAAGCGACUGUUUAUCAAAAACACAGGUCCGUGCGAAGUCGUAAGACGAUGUAUACGGACUGACUCCUGCCCGGUGCUGGAAGGUUAAGAGGAUUGGUUAGCCCUUUUGGGCGAAGCUGAGAAUUUAAGCCCCAGUAAACGGCGGUGGUAACUAUAACCAUCCUAAGGUAGCGAAAUUCCUUGUCGGGUAAGUUCCGACCUGCACGAAUGGCGUAACGACUUCCCCGCUGUCUCAACCAUGAGCUCGGCGAAAUUGCAGUACGAGUAAAGAUGCUCGUUUCGCGCAGAAGGACGGAAAGACCCCGGGACCUUUACUAUAGCUUGGUAUUGGUGUUCGCUUGGACUUGUGUAGGAUAGGUGGGAGACUGUGAAGCUGCCGCGCCAGCGGUGGUGGAGUCGUCGUUGAAAUACCAUUCUGGUUCAAGCGGUCACCUUAACCUUGGCCCGUGAUCCGGGUUGGGGACAGUGCCUGGUGGGUAGUUUAACUGGGGCGGUUGCCUCCUAAAAUGUAACGGAGGCGCUCAAAGGUUCCCUCAGCCUGGUUGGUAAUCAGGUGGCGAGUGCAAGUGUACAAGGGAGCUUGACUGUGAGACCGACGGGUCGAGCAGGUGCGAAAGCAGGAACUAGUGAUCCGGCCAUGGCACGUGGGUGCGUGGUCGCUCAACGGAUAAAAGGUACCCCGGGGAUAACAGGCUGAUCUUGCCCAAGAGUCCAUAUCGACGGCAUGGUUUGGCACCUCGAUGUCGGCUCGUCGCAUCCUGGGGCUGGAGUCGGUCCCAAGGGUUGGGCUGUUCGCCCAUUAAAGCGGUACGCGAGCUGGGUUCAGAACGUCGUGAGACAGUUCGGUCCCUAUCCGCUGCGCGCGUUGGAAAUUUGAGAAAGGCUGUCCUUAGUACGAGAGGACCGGGACGGACGAACCUCUGGUAUGUCAGUUGUACCGCCAGGUGCAUGGCUGAUUGGCUACGUUCGGGAGGGAUAACCGCUGAAAGCAUCUAAGCGGGAAGCCUGUUUCGAGAUGAGAUUUCCUGGCACUUUUUGGUGUGUGAGGCUCCUUAUAGAUGAUGAGGUUGAUAGGCCGGGUAUGGAAGCGAGGACUGAAGACUCGUGGAGUUGACUGGUACUAAUAGGCCGAAGGCUUACUUUU
Molecule: ribosomal RNA, 2534 nt
Filed under: human oral metagenome
Description: bacterial LSU rRNA
Rfam family: Bacterial large subunit ribosomal RNA
Source: RNAcentral